Molecule: small RNA, 745 nt
Filed under: Malus domestica (apple)
Lineage: Eukaryota; Viridiplantae; Streptophyta; Magnoliopsida; Rosales; Rosaceae
Description: sRNA MD10G0208700
Source: RNAcentral
GGAGUUCCUUCCUUCCGUCUCCGAUUUGUUUUCUCUACCCGUACCGCUUCAUCUUUUUGGUUGUUCAAAUUAAUCAGCCUCUUGUUUUGUUGUUCGCGAAUUGGUUAUCAAAGUUGAUUUCUUGAAAAUCAAUAAGGGGUUAGAAGCUUCUACCCAUUUUUAAUCCGAAUAGAAUUUGUUCUGGGCUGAUCUAAUCCAACCUUUUCAGGUCAGAAAGCUUGCUUAAAUUUCGAUUUUUAUUGAACUCAAGAAUGCUUCUUCAGUUUUUCAGGUUGAUUUGAAGGAACUUUUUUACCCAAAAAAGCUAGGGUUUCCUGGAAACGUUGGUCUUCGAAUAUUGGGGUUUUUGUGUGCAAGCCCUUUGUGAUCAAGAAAACUUCUGUCUCCUCGCUCUAGAAGAGAACUGAGAAGAUUCUGAAAGAUUGUGUGUAAAUUCCAUCUGGGUUCUUCAAAUUCAAGCCCCCCAAAUUUGAGCAGUUUGUGUUACCCGGACUUAUCGAAUCAAGGCAGCUGCAAGGAAAUUUGAGCCUUGGCCUGUAGAGAUACGAUUUUGCAAGGAAGCUAGGUUCCCAUACUGCAGGGGUUUGGAGCCUUGCACUCAUCAAUAUCUGAACAGAAAGAGAAUGAAUUAAAUCCAUGAACAAUAGCCAUCUUAACAGUGAAUUCAAAUCAAUGAGCAUUACUAAUGGAUGAUUUGAAGUCUCUAUGGAUGAUUUGAAGUCGAGAGUCCUCGUGUAAAUAAAGA